AUCACAUGAUUCCAAUCACGCAUAAUCAUUGAGAACAUAAAUGUUCUGAAAUAAAAGAUGUCUAUAGCCAACAAUCAAGAUUUGUAGUUUUGCGUACAAAAGCAUCGACUACCUCUCUGAAGUCCAGUUGGGCAAGGUACAGGCAGGCAUUUCCCAGGGUCCUCGGUAAUUACACCCAGGUUUCUGUUCCAUUGGCUCCAGUUGACUUCCUCCACACUGAAAGAAAGAGGGCACAUGCUUCAAUUAUUGCUUAUGGUUUCACUCAAGUGUGUAAACACACAGUAAACACAGUUCAGUACAGGGGGACAAAUGCAAACUUCAGAUCUUGUGGUUUUGGGUGGAAGCCACCAGGGUCACCUAAAACACCAGCGUAUAUCAGGCUCCUGCCCCCUGCCUAGGUCCUUUUCUUUCCCGGAACGCAGCCUUGUCUUCAGACAGCGGGGAAGAAUCCACUCCAUGUCCAAAGUGUUUCCAGAUGUUGGCGCUCUCUACGGACAUCUCCUCCACUCUUUGAUUCAUCAGAGCGAUCAGCAUGUUUAGCAUCAAAAUAGAACCCAAUGAGGAAGACCAUGUACACGACAAGGAAUCGACGAAUUUCCCCAAGAACCAUCUGACAACAAUUAAAGAGUGACUGUUAUCAGCUAUGGAUACUAGUGCGUGAAGCACCGUGUUUCCAUGAGAGUCCUUCUUCCUGACAUCCACCGCCUGGUACUGAUGUAAACCCUGCAGUUUAGACACAUCGCCACUGGACACGGCAUCAAAAAGCCUCUUGAGGUUAAACCUCUCACUGUCCUGCUGAGCUGGUUCCUCUUUCACUUUUCUGAUUCCCCUGUGUGCAGAAUGUAUCUGAUAAAGUAAAGAUUUCUAGUGUUAUGUUUAUCAGACACUCCGGUGUGGUUUAAGGAGGCCCCUUACCUGUCAAAGUGUAGGUUAACUUUAAUUGUGGGUGCAGACUCCUCUGUCUCAUCCAAGUAGUUAGAAUCCAUAGGCCUCCUGUCCUUUGAGGUGCCUUUUUUCAUCUGUUUGGCCUUUGACCUUUCCUCCUCUGUCAGGUCA
This is a long non-coding RNA of Onychostoma macrolepis, 1056 nucleotides long. RefSeq lists it as uncharacterized. The record is from RefSeq and is a predicted model, not a curated record. The transcript is spliced from 7 exons. NCBI's taxonomy places the organism in Eukaryota, Metazoa, Chordata, Actinopteri, Cypriniformes, Cyprinidae.